AUGCAAGUCGAGGGGAAACGACAUCGAAAGCUUGCUUUUGAUGGGCGUCGACCGGCGCACGGGUGAGUAACGCGUAUCCAACCUGCCCAUCACUUGGGGAUAACCUUGCGAAAGUAAGACUAAUACCCAAUGAUAUCUCUAGAAGACAUCUGAAAGAGAUUAAAGAUUUAUCGGUGAUGGAUGGGGAUGCGUCUGAUUAGCUUGUUGGCGGGGUAACGGCCCACCAAGGCGACGAUCAGUAGGGGUUCUGAGAGGAAGGUCCCCCACAUUGGAACUGAGACACGGUCCAAACUCCUACGGGAGGCAGCAGUGAGGAAUAUUGGUCAAUGGACGAGAGUCUGAACCAGCCAAGUAGCGUGCAGGAUGACGGCCCUAUGGGUUGUAAACUGCUUUUACAAGGGAAUAAAGUGAGUCUCGUGAGACUUUUUGCAUGUACCUUAUGAAUAAGGACCGGCUAAUUCCGUGCCAGCAGCCGCGGUAAUACGGAAGGUCCGGGCGUUAUCCGGAUUUAUUGGGUUUAAAGGGAGCGUAGGCCGGAGAUUAAGCGUGUUGUGAAAUGUAGACGCUCAACGUCUGCACUGCAGCGCGAACUGGUUUCCUUGAGUACGCACAAAGUGGGCGGAAUUCGUGGUGUAGCGGUGAAAUGCUUAGAUAUCACGAAGAACUCCGAUUGCGAAGGCAGCUCACUGGAGCGCAACUGACGCUGAAGCUCGAAAGUGCGGGUAUCGAACAGGAUUAGAUACCCUGGUAGUCCGCACGGUAAACGAUGGAUGCCCGCUGUUGGUCUGAAUAGGUCAGCGGCCAAGCG
RNAcentral lists this ribosomal RNA (808 nucleotides) under uncultured bacterium. RNAcentral's name for it is "bacterial SSU rRNA". It matches the Rfam family "Bacterial small subunit ribosomal RNA", at positions 55 to 853 of the family's 1533-position model. The record is from RNAcentral.